Molecule: ribosomal RNA, 371 nt
Filed under: uncultured organism
Description: partial 16S ribosomal RNA
Rfam family: Bacterial small subunit ribosomal RNA
Source: RNAcentral
GUAGGUGGCAAGCGUUGUCCGGAAUUAUUGGGCGUAAAGCGCGCGCAGGCGGUUCUUUAAGUCUGAUGUGAAAGCCCACGGCUCAACCGUGGAGGGUCAUUGGAAACUGGAGAACUUGAGUACAGAAGAGGAAAGCGGAAUUCCACGUGUAGCGGUGAAAUGCGUAGAGAUGUGGAGGAGCACCAGUGGCGAAGGCGGCUUUCUGGUCUGUAACUGACGCUGAGGCGCGAAAGCGUGGGGAGCAAACAGGAUUAGAUACCCUGGUAGUCCACGCCGUAAACGAUGAGUGCUAAGUGUUAGGGGGUUUCCGCCCCCCUUAGUGCUGCAGCUAACGCAUUAAGCACUCCGCCUGGGAUACGGCCGCAAGGCUG